GUGGUAAUGCCGGAUGCUCCGGUUGGAUGCAUGUCCUUCCGGGAAAGAUUCUAUCGGUAUGGGAUGGGGUCGCGUCCUAUCAGCUUGAUGGCGGGGUAACGGCCCACCAUGGCUUCGACGGGUAGCCGGCCUGAGAGGGCGACCGGCCACAUUGGGACUGAGAUACGGCCCAGACUCCUACGGGAGGCAGCAGUGGGGAAUAUUGCACAAUGGGCGCAAGCCUGAUGCAGCGACGCCGCGUGCGGGAUGGAGGCCUUCGGGUUGUAAACCGCUUUUGAUCGGGAGCAAGCCCUUCGGGGUGAGUGUACCUUUCGAAUAAGCACCGGCUAACUACGUGCCAGCAGCCGCGGUAAUACGUAGGGUGCAAGCGUUAUCCGGAAUUAUUGGGCGUAAAGGGCUCGUAGGCGGUUCGUCGCGUCCGGUGUGAAAGCCCAUCGCUUAACGGUGGGUCUGCGCCGGGUACGGGCGGGCUGGAGUGCGGUAGGGGAGACUGGAAUUCCCGGUGUAACGGUGGAAUGUGUAGAUAUC
This 528-nucleotide ribosomal RNA is filed under the name Bifidobacterium dentium. RNAcentral's name for it is "bacterial SSU rRNA". It matches the Rfam family "Bacterial small subunit ribosomal RNA", at positions 160 to 698 of the family's 1533-position model. The record is from RNAcentral. Lineage: Bacteria; Bacillati; Actinomycetota; Actinomycetes; Bifidobacteriales; Bifidobacteriaceae.